This is a small nuclear RNA of Cercocebus atys (sooty mangabey), 143 nucleotides long. Its record names the gene U4. It matches the Rfam family "U4 spliceosomal RNA". Rfam says of the family: U4 small nuclear RNA (U4 snRNA) is a component of the major U2-dependent spliceosome. The structure of U4 snRNA from yeast and human has been reported. NCBI's taxonomy places the organism in Eukaryota, Metazoa, Chordata, Mammalia, Primates, Cercopithecidae. The record is from Ensembl.
AGCUUUGCACAGUGGCAGUAUCAUAGUCAAUGAGGUUUAUCGAAGGCAUGAUUAUUGGUAGUUGAAACUCUAGAGUUGAGCCCCAUAAGAAUUCCAACUUGCUUAAAGCAAAUGCAGGCUUUGUUUGCGUCUCCACUGCUGGA